Morone saxatilis (striped sea-bass) is the source of this 1112-nucleotide long non-coding RNA. RefSeq lists it as uncharacterized. The record is from RefSeq and is a predicted model, not a curated record. Lineage: Eukaryota; Metazoa; Chordata; Actinopteri; Moronidae. The transcript has 3 exons.
CAAAGUACUGAACACUAAAGUUUGAAAUAAUUUUUAGGAUAUAAAUCCAGCUCAUCAGAAAUCCAGACAUACUGACCUUGGGAUUUUCAACAACUCACUUCAGCAGAACCCUGACAAUGAUGCUGGUAUUCAUCCUCCUCCUGGCUCCACUGUUGACCAGCUGCGUUAAAAUCAUCCUACCAGCCGACUGCAGUGACAUCCAUCAACAAGACAAGGAACAACCCAGUGGAGUGUACACCAUCUAUCCCAUCGGAUCCACAUCUGCUGUCCAGGUGUACUGUGACAUGGAGUCAGAAGGAGGACGGUGGACGGUGAGUUCUCACUGAAGUCAACUUAAACUCAGAGCCAAGUGCUUUAAUGUUUUAACAUCUGUUUGCAUUGCAAUCUGAAUGUUCUCAGGAUGUUCUUUGAGGUUCUCUCCAAUCCGUGUAUAUUCCAUAUGCACAGGGAAUGAUACUCCAUUGUCAGGGUACUUGAAGUACGAGCAAACGUCCGGCAGACACAGUGGCUUGCAAGGGUUGUUAAAGUCAGACUGCAAACUGCAUUAGAUCAGACCGUACUGUGUUUAAACAAUAACUACUAACUAACACUAAAAUGCCAUAAACCUGAACUGUGUGGUGAUUCUCUUCACUCAAAUAAAGCUGCUUUCAUGGACUCAAGGGUUGCAUUUCUACAAGCUAGCAUUAUGUUAAUUAGCUAGCUAACCUUAGCUACCAUGUGCUCACAUAUUGCUAGGCCACAUGAAGGAAAUCAAAGCGCAGAUACAAAACAGAUUCCUUACAUGGGAGCAGUGUGAGGGCUGUGAUCAGAACAAAUGGAAAGUAUGAAGGAAAGUUGCUGCACAGGGUUUUCCCCAAGAGGGAAGUAAAACUCAUUCCUUCUUUUUGAUCAGUGAUAACGUAGUGUUGAGACGUGCAGAACAACAAAACAUUUCCUGUUUUAAACAGUAAUCUGAUAUAAAAGUCUACGUCACCUACUCCUUUAGUAUUUAAGGUUUGACCAGUUUAGGCAAACGUUAAUACGACGGAGACAGACUGAAGGAGACGCAGCAGUUUGUCUCUGUUCUCUGAAGGUGAAGCCUCCUUAGUUCAAACUGCAGGUGAGUUCAGACA